RNAcentral lists this unclassified non-coding RNA (238 nucleotides) under uncultured fungus. RNAcentral's name for it is "sequence contains ITS2". The record is from RNAcentral. Lineage: Eukaryota; Fungi.
AACGCACAUUGCACCCUCUAGAAUUCUGGGGGGUAUGCCUGUUCGAGCGUCAUUUCAACCCUCAAGCACUGCUUGGUAUUGGAUGUCAUCACUUGUUGGUGCAUCUCAAAAGCAUUAAGUAGUACAUUCAGCUUCUAGUGCAGUAAUUUUCUCGCUUUGGAGUUUUAAAUGUAACUGCUGGAAUCCACAUUUAUUAAUGGUUGACCUCGGAUCAGGUAGGGAUACCCGCUGAACUUAA